ACCUGCCCAGUGAUUUUAAACGCCCGGUACUCUGACCGUGCAAAGGUAGCAUAAUCAUUUGCCUUAUAAUUGAAGGCUGAUGAAUGGUUUGACGAGAAUACACCUGUCUCUUUUUGAUUUUAUAGAACUUUAUUUCUGGAUGAAAAAGUCCAGAUAACAUUAAUAGACAAGAAGACCCUAUCGAGCUUUAGAAAAAUUAACGGAGUUGACAUCAAUCUAUAGAAAUAAAAGAAGGGCUGUUAAAUACUUUGGUUGGGGCAACCGAGGAGCAAAAAUAGCCUCCUCUAAAAUGUAAGUCGUACUUGUGUUGAUCCAAAAGUUUUGAUCAAAGGAAUUAGUUACCGUAGGGAUAACAGCAUUAUCUUUUUUGAGAGCUCAUAUCGAAAAAAAGGUUUGUGACCUCGAUGUUGGACCAGAAUGUCCUAAAGAUGCAGAAGUCUUUAA
This 444-nucleotide ribosomal RNA is filed under the name Conus litoglyphus. RNAcentral describes it as "partial 16S ribosomal RNA". It matches the Rfam family "Bacterial large subunit ribosomal RNA", at positions 1857 to 2568 of the family's 2925-position model. Lineage: Eukaryota; Metazoa; Mollusca; Gastropoda; Neogastropoda; Conidae. The record is from RNAcentral.